UUCCUCUUUCGCCACAGCACGGGUCUUCUUGUUUCCGUUUUUGUUUUUCUUUCUUAUUUUCUCUUUUAUUCCAUUGUACAAAAUAAUUUUAUAUAUGAUCUUAAAACAUUCUUCUAAACUACAAAUGCAUAAAUGUCUGUGAACAGCAUGUGCUUUUGCAGGAAGGACGUUGGACUCUUGCACUAUAAGUUAAAAACAUCGCUUAUAAACAAUACAUCGCAGCACACUUGCAGAGAGAGCACUGCCAUGAUGUUUUGCAAAUGUAAAUCAACCUUUGAAGAAUCAACUUUAAAGGCAGGAAGUAGGGGC
This 309-nucleotide long non-coding RNA is filed under the name Gorilla gorilla gorilla (western lowland gorilla). RNAcentral's name for it is "lncRNA (ENSGGOG00000044573.1)". The record is from RNAcentral. Lineage: Eukaryota; Metazoa; Chordata; Mammalia; Primates; Hominidae.